GGGAGAUUAGCUCAGCUGGUUCAGAGCACCUGCCUUACAAGCAGGGGGUCACUGGUUCGAACCCAGUAUCUCCCACCAACA
This 81-nucleotide transfer RNA is filed under the name Cytophaga hutchinsonii ATCC 33406. RNAcentral describes it as "tRNA-Val". It matches the Rfam family "tRNA". From Rfam's summary of the family: Transfer RNA (tRNA) molecules are approximately 80 nucleotides in length. The record is from RNAcentral. Lineage: Bacteria; Pseudomonadati; Bacteroidota; Cytophagia; Cytophagales; Cytophagaceae.